This 64-nucleotide transfer RNA is filed under the name Entoria okinawaensis (Okinawa walking stick). Its description in RNAcentral is "tRNA-Phe". The record is from RNAcentral. Lineage: Eukaryota; Metazoa; Arthropoda; Insecta; Phasmatodea; Phasmatidae.
AUUCAUAUAGCUUAUAUUAGAGUUUAAUAUUGAAGAUAUUGUGGAAGAAAUUAUCUUGUGAAUA